This 2129-nucleotide ribosomal RNA is filed under the name Campylobacter upsaliensis. RNAcentral's name for it is "partial 23S ribosomal RNA". It matches the Rfam family "Bacterial large subunit ribosomal RNA", at positions 983 to 2925 of the family's 2925-position model. The record is from RNAcentral. Lineage: Bacteria; Pseudomonadati; Campylobacterota; Epsilonproteobacteria; Campylobacterales; Campylobacteraceae.
GUCAGGCGGCGAGUGAUAAAAUCCGUCGUCAAGAGGGAAACAACCCAGACUAACAGCUAAGGUCCCCAAAUCUUACUUAAGUGGAAAACGAUGUGAAGUUACUUAAACAACCAGGAGGUUGGCUUAGAAGCAGCCAUCCUUUAAAGAAAGCGUAAUAGCUCACUGGUCUAGUGAUUUUGCGCGGAAAAUAUAACGGGGCUAAAGUAAGUACCGAAGCUUUAGACUUGCACACAACUUAGAUGAUUUAAAUUUGGAAUAUGAGAAGCUAAAUUUGUUUUUAUUUAUUUUUGCUUAUCUUUAUUCAUUUUUAUAGAGUAAAGAUAAAAACAAAAACUUCGUAAAAAUAAUAAAAUUUAGUAAAAAACAAUAAAAAUAUUCUUAGAUUAAAAGUUAAGUCGUUUAAGUUGUGUGCAAGUGGUAGGAGAGCGUUCUAUUUGCGUCGAAGGCAUACCGACAAGGAGUGCUGGAGCGAAUAGAAGUGAGCAUGCAGGCAUGAGUAGCGAUAAUUAAUGUGAGAAUCAUUAACGCCGUAAACCCAAGGUUUCCUACGCGAUGCUCGUCAUCGUAGGGUUAGUCGGGUCCUAAGCUGAGUCCGAAAGGGGUAAGCGAUGGCAAAUAGGUUAAUAUUCCUAUACCAACAUUAGUGUGCGAUGGAAGGACGCUUAGGGCUAAGGGGGCUAGCGGAUGGAAGUGCUAGUCUAAGGUCGUAGGAGGUUAUACAGGCAAAUCCGUAUAACAAUACUCCGAGAACUGAAAGGCUUUUUGAAGUCUUCGGAUGGAAAGAAGAACCCCUGAUGCCGUCGAGCCAAGAAAAGUUUCUAAGUUUAGCUAAUGUUGCCCGUACCGUAAACCGACACAGGUGGGUGGGAUGAGUAUUCUAAGGCGCGUGGAAGAACUCUCUUUAAGGAACUCUGCAAAAUAGCACCGUAUCUUCGGUAUAAGGUGUGCCUCCCUUUGUAUUAGAAUUCACUUCGAAAGCAAAGAAGGUUACAACAAAGAGUCCCUCCCGACUGUUUACCAAAAACACAGCACUCUGCUAACUCGUAAGAGGAUGUAUAGGGUGUGACGCCUGCCCGGUGCUCGAAGGUUAAUUGAUGGGGUUAGCAUUAGCGAAGCUCUUGAUCGAAGCCCGAGUAAACGGCGGCCGUAACUAUAACGGUCCUAAGGUAGCGAAAUUCCUUGUCGGUUAAAUACCGACCUGCAUGAAUGGCGUAACGAGAUGGGAGCUGUCUCAAAGAGGGAUCCAGUGAAAUUGUAGUGGAGGUGAAAAUUCCUCCUACCCGCGGCAAGACGGAAAGACCCCGUGGACCUUUACUACAGCUUGACACUGCUAUUUGGAUAAGAAUGUGCAGGAUAGGUGGGAGGCUUUGAGUAUAUGACGCCAGUUGUAUAUGAGCCAUUGUUGAGAUACCACUCUUUCUUAUUUGGGUAGCUAACCAGCUUGAGUUAUCCUCAAGUGGGACAAUGUCUGGUGGGUAGUUUGACUGGGGCGGUCGCCUCCCAAAUAAUAACGGAGGCUUACAAAGGUUGGCUCAUAGCGGUUGGAAAUCGCUAGUAGAGUAUAAAGGUAUAAGCCAGCUUAACUGCAAGACAUACAAGUCAAGCAGAGACGAAAGUCGGUCUUAGUGAUCCGGUGGUUCUGUGUGGAAGGGCCAUCGCUCAAAGGAUAAAAGGUACCCCGGGGAUAACAGGCUGAUCUCCCCCAAGAGCUCACAUCGACGGGGAGGUUUGGCACCUCGAUGUCGGCUCAUCGCAUCCUGGGGCUGGAGCAGGUCCCAAGGGUAUGGCUGUUCGCCAUUUAAAGCGGUACGCGAGCUGGGUUCAGAACGUCGUGAGACAGUUCGGUCCCUAUCUGCCGUGGGCGUAAGAAGAUUGAAGAGAUUUGACCCUAGUACGAGAGGACCGGGUUGAACAAACCACUGGUGUAGCUGUUGUUCUGCCAAGAGCAUCGCAGCGUAGCUAAGUUUGGAAAGGAUAAACGCUGAAAGCAUCUAAGCGUGAAGCCAACUCUAAGAUGAAUCUUCUCUAAGCUCUCUAGAAGACUACUAGUUUGAUAGGCUGGGUGUGUAAUGGAUGAAAGUCCUUUAGCUGACCAGUACUAAUAGAGCGUUUGGCUUAUCUUAUAAAUA